AUUGAACGCUGGCGGAAUGCUUUACACAUGCAAGUCGAACGGCAGCACGAACUUCGGUUUGGUGGCGAGUGGCGAACGGGUGAGUAAUGCAUCGGAACGUGCCCAAUCGUGGGGGAUAACGUAGCGAAAGUUACGCUAAUACCGCAUACGAUCUAAGGAUGAAAGCGGGGGAUCGCAAGACCUCGCGCGAAUGGAGCGGCCGAUGUUAGAUUAGGUAGUUGGUGGGGUAAAGGCUCACCAAGCCGACGAUCUAUAGCUGGUCUGAGAGGAUGAUCAGCCACACUGGGACUGAGACACGGCCCAGACUCCUACGGGAGGCAGCAGUGGGGGAAUUUUGGACAAUGGGCGCAAGCCUGAUCCAGCCAUUCCGCGUGCAGGAUGAAGGCCCUCGGGUUGUAAACUGCUUUUGUACAGAACGAAAAGCUCUGGGUUAAUACCCUGGGGCCAUGACGGUACUGUAAGAAUAAGCACCGGCUAACUACGUGCCAGCAGCCGGUACGG
Molecule: ribosomal RNA, 501 nt
Filed under: uncultured bacterium
Lineage: Bacteria
Description: bacterial SSU rRNA
Rfam family: Bacterial small subunit ribosomal RNA
Source: RNAcentral